Drosophila simulans is the source of this 2096-nucleotide long non-coding RNA. RefSeq lists it as uncharacterized. The transcript is spliced from 3 exons. Lineage: Eukaryota; Metazoa; Arthropoda; Insecta; Diptera; Drosophilidae. The record is from RefSeq and is a predicted model, not a curated record.
AUUGUGCUGAAAUAUCAACUUUUUUGUGAGGGUAUUUAGAAUUCACCAUGUCCCAUUCCCAAUUGGUUUUUUUUCCCUCGACCAGCUUGGCGAAUUUGACGGGCAACGUGAAUGUCGGCGGCAGGAAAGAAAAUAAAUAUGCCACAAUAUGUUAACGACAAGUCUGCCUUGGCCUCCAGUCACCUGCCACGCCCCUUGCCGGCAUUAGCACUUUCGGCUGCCUCCGCUAGGUGAACUACGUGCCAAGUUAUACUUUCGGCUCUGACUGUAAAUAAAUAUUAUUAAAGCGACACUAAAAAAUUGUAUUCGAUUAUUCAGCAAGUGCUAAGAUAAAUGAAUGGCCAUGGGGCUGGUGGAAAUGGGCGAGUGGCUUACCACGAAUUAUGUGCAAUAAAUGGAAUGUGACAGCAUAAAUCAUUACAGCAGAUAGCUCUGUUUCCCUGGCCCAGUGCGCAUGUGUGUGUGUGUGUGUGUGGGAGUCCUUUUCCAUUGCCGUUUCGCCCAAAAGUACGCAAUCAUUUUUCAAUAAGCUGUAUUAGCUUGUCAGCCAACAGAUGGCGUUGCGUAGGAGCCGCUUGUAAACACAUGCAGAUACAUAGAUCACCAUAUCAAUGCUCCAAAUGGGGAAAACAUUCAAAUAUUGUCUCCGUUACGAAAUCGCCGGCGGCCGAUUGGACCGACCAGUUGUAAUUCGAUCGUUCGUUGGUGUUCAUUGUAGGGGGUGUUCCCGCUUAAUUGGAAGUGUAUUCAAUAGGUUGAAAACCGCUCCGCUGGGAAAUCACUUCUAAGAACUAGUUAUCGCACCAUUUCCCAUUUGGACGAAGUGAACGGACAAAUUGCAAUCACAACGUCCGCCUAUUUGCGAGGACGAUGCAGUUGCCAAUUGCCGAAAAAGCUCCGCAACGGUUGCCAAUAAGUUUGGCAAUCAAGUCGGACUUCCCCUGCGCGGCCGAAACCGGCCAUAAUUACAAGUUAAUGGUGUCCGCGUGUAAGCUGUUCUCCGUUGGCCGGAGUACUGCGCCCUGUUGGUAAUAACUUUAUUAAUUACAUCCUCGGACUUGGCAAGACACUCGCAAGGACCUCGGCGUCCCUUUUUCGUUCCUGGGCAACAGCUGGCCUCCUUCGGUUCUUGUGUGCGCCUUAUUAAUUUAUUCAAUUUCCCCUUUUUACGGCCUCCCCAAGUGAAUUAGCAGCUGAAAGUGCUCUCAGUACUCUCACCGCUACUUCGUUUCCCUUUCAGCAGGAAAGUAAGGAAAGUAGUCCCUGAACUUUAAAUGACUUCCAUUACUGCACAUCUAAUCUCAUUUUUUGGUGUAGCAUAAGUUUGUGAAUAUUGAGUGAAAGGGUUUCAUACACUUCCAUGUCACGAGUACAUCCAAUCACAAGGCAUUGAUUUAAAAGGCUUAACUGAGGCGUGAAUGGGAUUUUCCUACCUUUUUUCGAUAAGAGCCACCAGUCAUAUCCACAUAAAUCACCGAGAACUGUUCUUCAAAAGCGGCAUCGCAUCAAAGACCGCCGACUGGCGCUUAAGCUCUGCUUCUGGCCCCCCGGGUCCAACUUUCCUCUCUGCUGACUAAAUGCCCACCAGCCUGUUCACAUAUGGCAACUAUUUGCCCGCAAAUUGGUAUAAAUGAUGGUGGAUUACGCCAAAUGCUCUCCAUAAAUAAGGAUUCCCAAUGUGGGAGGAAUGGGAAAUGAAAGAUAGAAAUCAACCAAAAUGAACUAUACUCUUUUUAUUAAAGAAAUUCAUAACAGAUUCUUAGAUAACAGCCUAGAUUUUGCAUAUUACAUUUUAGCCUUGGAAUCUAUACUUAUUGCUUACAUUUAAAGUUAACAAAACUACAAAUUUAAUAUAAAACUAUGGCAAAUUGCUAAACAAGCAAAUAAGAUAGCGAUCUGUUCGUAGAAAUGUGUGUACCCUUAGCCGAAAAGGGUGUGUGGCAAUCCCAAGGCGAAAAAUUCCCCCGAGGAAGGCCAGAAAAAGCAAAACGCAGAAAAGUAGGCAAUGAUUUUUAUUAAUUGAUAAGCAUUUGCAACAAGUUGCACAGACACAAGGGUAAACACCAGCACUCACACACACACACACGCUGUACAUA